Molecule: RNA transcript, 2430 nt
Organism: Triticum dicoccoides
Lineage: Eukaryota; Viridiplantae; Streptophyta; Magnoliopsida; Poales; Poaceae
Exons: 7
Source: RefSeq, a predicted model, not a curated record
GUUGAUCCCCAAACCCUUUCGCUCUCUAGACGCAGACACCUCGUCUCCCACACGCAACCUCCUCUUCCCACUCCCCAUCUAGGGCCGCCGCUGCCGCCGCCGUCCCGUCGCUCCUCCGGCGCUGGCCACCGAAGGAAGGUUGGCUUCUCCUAUGGAUCUUCUCCUCUUGGUGGCCCCUCCGUCCUCUUCGCCGGCGGCGAGCUCUUCGGGUCGGGGUCCUCGCCGCUCGUCUUCCUGACCCUGCUCCUGACCGAGGGCGGCGGCAUGGACCUCCUACUUCCCUCUCUUAUUCCCCUGUGCCUCGGCGAGGUGGGCCAAGCCAGCGCACACGACAAAGGGUGGUUGCGGCUACGGCUCCGACGCGGGCGCCGCGGAGGUGGAGGCGGAGCUGCGGUGGCUGGUGAUGGAUGGCCGCGACAACGGCGUCAGCUUCGACGAGUUUCAUCACCUCCACUGCUAUCUCAGGCAGUAGCCAAUUGAUGGAUUUGACUGCUGAUCCCUUUGUGUUGGCUGAUGGUGGUGAGAUGGAAAUAAGGAUCAACCAUGGUGGGAUGGGAAUCUUUAAGAGGAAGAAUCAAGCGACACGAGCACCUAAUCCACAUGUGUUGACAAUCUCUGCUCCUUUUUAAACUCAAGAUUUUAACCAAGAUCAUAUACAUUGUGAACCAAAGAUAGUUUAGUAUUCGGUUUAAUUCUGCUGUUUGUUCUAUUAGACAAAUUACUAUUAUGUUGAAACCUUGCCGUGGUUGUGCUAAAUUGUUUAUUUCUAUCUGUACCUGCCAGUUCUAAGCACCUAUUUCUUCUUCUUCUUCUUUUGUAUCUAUACAUAACAAUUCUAUUUUUCUUACCCCUGCAGUUAUACAUGACCUGCAGCUUAUUCACAUGGAUCUUAAGCCAGAGAACAUUCUCCUUGUUUCACCUGAUACAAUCAGGGUUCAUGAUUAUAAGGUGUGUCUUCGGUUGCAUCCUUGAAAUAUUUCACUACUUAUGUUGGAUGGAUGAUGGAUCUCAUACUUUCAAGGGAUAUCUACUAACAAACUACCAAAAUAUAUAGCUACUUUAUUGUGACAAGUUUUUAUAUCAGAGGCACAUGCGAGUUUGGCUGUUUGCUGACUUGAUUCAAGCUAUCCUGGUGGAGUGACAUCAACAUCCAGAAUGCCAAAAGGCUUUUGGUAGAUUCCAAGGCAGGAUAAAAUCCAUACAAUGGUUUCACACCUUCAGUAAGUCUUGCCAUGCACUAUUUUUUCAUGAAUUUGAGGACGAGGAGAGCUACGAGCGGUUCUGGCGGCAUGAGCGGCGAGGAGUGAUGGCGUGCGACUACACUGAGGUGUACGCCUCCAUGUCAGGCAACUGUGGCCGUCACGUCGUGGAGCAGCGUUCUGCCAUGGUGAACUGGAUCAUCGAGUGGUUUCUUCUGUUUGCCCAUUGAAUCUGCUCACAAGAGAUGUGAUAAUUCUAAGCUGGAGGAAGUUGUGGAAGAGGCUACCAAGCUCCAGGAAGCUGCAGUUGAGGAAGAACAGAAGCUUGCCAGUGCUGAGAAGUAUGUUACCUUGCUAGCAAUGGAGGAUUCGCAUAUCUUAGGUGUCAUUUCGAAGUCCACAUCGGAACCAGCCAUCAAGAGCAUUAAAGGUGCCUCAACUGAAGAUGGUGAGAGCAGCAAAUGGUCACUGGUGUUGGAGAUAGAUGAUGAGAUCAAUAGUACCAGUGAAGAUAAGGAAGUAGCUGCCGUUGAAGUGCCAAAAAGGAAGCCAUCAAUGUAGAUGCUUUCAGUUCCACCGCCCAGCUGUUGUAACAGAGAAGGAAGUCUCUGGUGUUUAUUUCAAGGAAGAUGCUCUCAGUUCCACCGUUGAGGCUGCUGAUGCUGCUAGCAAUAUAGCCCCAGCAGCUGUGACAGCGAAGGAAGUCACUUCUGCUGAGCGGGAGCCUGCCACAGCAGCCGACCUGUGAGGUAUGCUAUUUGGUACCAGCACUUCAUUCUCAACAUAAGGUUGUGUCUGUUACUCAUAUAAAAGGCUUUUUUCUAGAUCUGCAGAUUAUGGUUUUCCAAACACAAUACACUGAUUGUAGUUUUUGUGAGCUUGUUCUUUAUAAGAAAAUAAUUGAACCUUUUCAAUUGUCAUUAUGCCAUUGAUAUCAAAAUCUUGCAUGAGUUUUUGUUGAUUGUUUAGUGACUAAGCUUAUGUUGGUUAAUAUGAAUUUGAAUUGCACUCUGGAUCAAGUUAUUUUCUGAUAUGGUAGCUCAUUGCUAAAUUUUUUUGGCCCAUUCUAAUUGUAAAACGAAGCAAUAGCAAAUCAAUCGUGAGGUUUCAAGCACAAAAUAAACUACAUGUAGCCCAUUUCACCAUGAUUUGGAUUACUGAACUGUUGUCCCGAAAGAACAAUGUACAUGACAUGACAAACUAAGAACACAAGCAUGGCUGAUUUACUGAA